RNAcentral lists this ribosomal RNA (488 nucleotides) under uncultured bacterium. RNAcentral describes it as "bacterial SSU rRNA". It matches the Rfam family "Bacterial small subunit ribosomal RNA", at positions 30 to 507 of the family's 1533-position model. The record is from RNAcentral.
UUGAACGCUGGCGGCAUGCCUAACACAUGCAAGUCGAACGGUAACGCGGAGAGCUUGCUCUCUGGCGACGAGUGGCGGACGGGUGAGUAAUACUUAGGAAUCUGCCCAGUAGUCGGGGGACAACAUUCGGAAACGGAUGCUAAUACCGCAUACGCACUACGGUGGAAAGUGGGGGACCUUCGGGCCUCACGCUAUUGGAUGAGCCUAAGUCGGAUUAGCUUGUUGGUGAGGUAAUAGCUCACCAAGGCGACGAUCCGUAGCUGGUCUGAGAGGACGAUCAGCCACACUGGGACUGAGACACGGCCCAGACUCCUACGGGAGGCAGCAGUGGGGAAUAUUGGACAAUGGGCGCAAGCCUGAUCCAGCAAUGCCGCGUGUGUGAAGAAGGCCUGCGGGUUGUAAAGCACUUUCAGUAGAGAAGAAAAGCCUAGGGUUAAUACCCCUGAGUCUUGACGUAACCUACAGAAGAAGCACCGGCUAACUCCGUG